Molecule: RNA transcript, 1451 nt
Organism: Populus euphratica (Euphrates poplar)
Lineage: Eukaryota; Viridiplantae; Streptophyta; Magnoliopsida; Malpighiales; Salicaceae
Gene name: endoplasmin homolog
Exons: 3
Source: RefSeq, a predicted model, not a curated record
GAUCAAACCAUAAAAACAAACACUCCCCAUUUUUUCACCAUUUUCAAACCUCUCCAGAUCGAUUCAAUCCCAGACACUCAAUUCAUGUUAUGAUCUGCGGUUCCACAGGUAAGAAAUUACUCGCUAAAGCAGAGGAUGCUUCUGAUUUCCUCGUUGACCCUCCCAAUGUAGAGGAGAAACUCGGCGCCCUAUCCUUCUCUUUUUUCUUGCCUUCCUUUCUUUAUUAAAUAACGUAUUUGCCACCGAACCGGUUCAGGGAAUCGGCGUCUCGGCAUAUGGAUAUCAUUAUCAACUCUCUUUACAGCAACAAAGUAUUUUCCUCAGAGAGUUGAUUUCCAAUGCAUCUGAUGCGCUUGAUAAAAUAAGGUUUCUGUCGCUAACGGACGAAGAGGUUUUGGGUGAAGGAGACAAUGCCAAGCUAGAAAUUCAGGUUAGUGAUUAAUUAAUUUUGUAGAAUUGUUGAAAUUGUGAUUAAUUUGAAGUUUUACCACAGCCCCAAGUCAGGAACUUCAGGUAUAUACGUUGAACAGAAGGCGGAAAUGUAAGUUUUGGGUGUUUGGGGGUUAAAUAUGUAAAUUGCCGUGUUAACAUUUGUGGAGAAAAUGCAGUCAAGUGAGGGCCUUAAUUUGAUUGGACAGUUUGGGGUAGGGUUCUAUUCUGUAUAUCUUGCUGCCGACGAUGUCGAAGUCCCUGGCAAGCAUAAUGAUGACUAGCAGUAAGUGUUCUUGUAUGUUGGGGCCGGUAAGAUUGGAUACAUGUUGUUUGUGGAUUCCAGGUAUGUGUGGGAAUCGAAGCCUGAUGGAGCGUUAGCGAUAUCUGAGGAUACCUGGAAUGAACCUCUGGGACGUGGAACUGAGAUAAGAUUGCAUAUCAGAGACGAAGCUGGAGAGUACUUGGAGGAGAAGAAUCUGAAAUGUGAAGCGAACUGCCCAACUGAUGUACCAAGCAGCACUCUUCAUGCUCAACGAUCCCAAAGAGUUUGCCUCUCGUAUCUACAACUCUGUGAAAUCUAGCCUGAGCAUCAGUCCAGAUGCAAUCAUUGAAGAGGAAGAUGAUGUAGAAGAAGUUGAAACGUAAACAAAAGAAGCCACUUCCCAACACUGAAGCUGAACCCACAAGAGAUGAUGAGGAUACAGAACCUUCUUCUGUCAAGGAUGAGUUGUAGAUUGCCCAAAGAAUGUGCCAUUUCCAUCCUUUUUCAGGCAUUCCUUUUUCCUGUAAUGCUGUUUAUUAGAGAAGCUGAACUGCUUCAUGUAUUUUUCACAGUCGAACUUCAUAGUAGGCCGUAGAGCUAAUGUAUACAUACGGAUUUUACCUUUUCAGCACAUAGUUAUUGAUGAGCUGCAAAAAUGGAAUUUUGGUCCCCUCCCUGUUUCAUAGUCCGUGCACGGGUACAGGGUCUGAAGUUUUUGGUCGAUUAAGGCCCAUAAAUGAACGUCGCGAGAAUUUGU